GGCCGAGUGAUGGAAUUGGUAGACAUGAGGGAUUCAAAAUCCCUUGCCUUCACGGGCGUGCCGGUUCGAGUCCGGCCUCGGCUACCA
RNAcentral lists this transfer RNA (87 nucleotides) under Gammaproteobacteria bacterium. RNAcentral's name for it is "tRNA-Leu". It matches the Rfam family "tRNA". From Rfam's summary of the family: Transfer RNA (tRNA) molecules are approximately 80 nucleotides in length. Their secondary structure includes four short double-helical elements and three loops (D, anti-codon, and T loops). Lineage: Bacteria; Pseudomonadati; Pseudomonadota; Gammaproteobacteria. The record is from RNAcentral. RNAcentral also lists the same sequence under 2 other names.